Molecule: transfer RNA, 71 nt
Filed under: Bos taurus (domestic cattle)
Lineage: Eukaryota; Metazoa; Chordata; Mammalia; Artiodactyla; Bovidae
Also listed under: 5 other names
Rfam family: tRNA
About the family: Transfer RNA (tRNA) molecules are approximately 80 nucleotides in length.
Source: Rfam by way of RNAcentral
UUUAUGGUGGCUCAGUGGUAAAGAAUCUGCCUGUGAUGCAGGAGACACAGGUUUGAUCCUUGUUUGGGAAG